This 482-nucleotide ribosomal RNA is filed under the name uncultured bacterium. Its description in RNAcentral is "partial 16S ribosomal RNA". It matches the Rfam family "Bacterial small subunit ribosomal RNA", at positions 30 to 507 of the family's 1533-position model. The record is from RNAcentral.
AUUGAACGCUGGCGGCAUGCUUUACACAUGCAAGUCGAACGGUAACAGGCCGCAAGGUGCUGACGAGUGGCGCACGGGUGAGUAAUGCAUCGGAACGUGCCCAGUCGUGGGGGAUAACUACUCGAAAGAGUAGCUAAUACCGCAUACGAUCUAUGGAUGAAAGCGGGGGACCGUAAGGCCUCGCGCGAUUGGGCCGGCCGAUGUCAGAUUAGGUAGUUGGUGGGGUAAAGGCGCACCAAGCCAACGAUCUGUAGCUGGUCUGAGAUGACGACCAGCCACACUGGGACUGAGACACGGCCCAGACUCCUACGGGAGGCAGCAGUGGGGAAUUUUGGACAAUGGGCGCAAGCCUGAUCCAGCAAUGCCGCGUGCAGGAAGAAGGCCUUCGGGUUGUAAACUGCUUUUGUACGGAACGAAACGGCUCUGGUUAAUACCCGGGGCUAAUGACGGUACCGUAAGAAUAAGCACCGGCUAACUACGUG